Molecule: long non-coding RNA, 284 nt
Filed under: Bos taurus (domestic cattle)
Lineage: Eukaryota; Metazoa; Chordata; Mammalia; Artiodactyla; Bovidae
Description: long non-coding RNA NONBTAT026868
Source: RNAcentral
GGGGCACGCAUCCUAACUACCUAUAAUUUUCCAAACCUUUUCAGGAGAUUAUAGGAUCUUUCGUAAUGCCUAUUGCAAGGGAGUAGAGCUAGGACAACAGGAACUCCACACUGACUUUCAACUUCCUGGUUUCUAUUCCAUGUCACCUCUGCCCGCCUUGAACAGCUUUAGCUCCAUCCUGACUCUAUAUAGCCUUCAAGUCUGUUGUUUAUCUUAUCAGCUUUAAGUACUAAAAUACCCAGGAUCUUAAUAACUCAAAAGCCAUUUUUCCUCAGAGCUAUUAU